RNAcentral lists this long non-coding RNA (714 nucleotides) under Elaeis guineensis (African oil palm). RNAcentral's name for it is "long non-coding RNA (EGUI_LNC020950)". The record is from RNAcentral. Lineage: Eukaryota; Viridiplantae; Streptophyta; Magnoliopsida; Arecales; Arecaceae.
CAUGGCUUACUGCGGGGGCUUCCGUGUGCCCCCCAACGGAAGAGGAAAAAAAUAGAGAGAGAAAGGGGAAGCAUCCAGAACCCCCUCCCUUUCUCUCGCGCCCUCUCUCCCCUCCCGCUCUCUCUCUCUCUCACACGCGCGCGCUCACUCUCUCCUUCCUUCUGGCUUUCUUCCACGCUCUCUUCCCUUCCCAUCUUCUUCUUCUUCCUCUUUUCUUCUUUCCUCUUCUUAGCAAGGUUGCGGUCCUAAGAUUUUCUCUCCUAUCCGCGUGAGUAAAUCAUAAUCUCUCUUGGCAUUAAAUUUGAUUUCAAUUUAGAUUGAAUAAUAAAUAGUUUGGGGUAAUAAGGAAGAUAGUUGCUAAAUUGGGAUGGAUUGAAUCCGCCUGUAGUAGUCUAGGAUUUUUAAUUCUGUGAUGGUUAGAUAUUUUAAUCUGAAAAUUUAAUUGAAGGUCAUCAACUAACUGCUUAACCAAUCUGCAAAGUUUAAAAAUUUUUGGAUACUAUUUGAUAGGGUAAAAAAAUUUCAGAUCAAGGCUAUUAUGUAAAGGAGGGUAGUUAACCAAAAAUUUGGGAUUUAGAAUUUUAGAAAGUUUUAUAAAUUAUUGCAAAGCAAUAAUAUGGUAUUGAUUUCAGAUUACAUAUAUGUAUUUUGGAUUAUUAGGUUUUGAGAAGUCCCGAAGAAGUAUUAUAUAACCUGAUAGGAGAUUUUUGCAAG